Molecule: ribosomal RNA, 253 nt
Filed under: uncultured Eubacteriales bacterium
Lineage: Bacteria; Bacillati; Bacillota; Clostridia; Eubacteriales
Description: uncultured Clostridiales bacterium partial 16S ribosomal RNA
Rfam family: Bacterial small subunit ribosomal RNA
Source: RNAcentral
UACGUAGGGGGCAAGCGUUAUCCGGAUUUACUGGGUGUAAAGGGAGCGUAGACGGCGCGGCAAGUCUGAAGUGAAAGGCAGGGGCUUAACCCCUGAACUGCUUUGGAAACUGCCAUGCUGGAGUGCCGGAGAGGUAAGCGGAAUUCCUAGUGUAGCGGUGAAAUGCGUAGAUAUCAGGAGGAACACCGGCGGCGAAGGCGGCCUGCUGGACUGAAACUGACGUUGAGGCUCGAAAGCGUGGGGAGCAAACAGG